This 3632-nucleotide long non-coding RNA is filed under the name Taeniopygia guttata (zebra finch). RNAcentral's name for it is "lncRNA (ENSTGUG00000027475.1)". Lineage: Eukaryota; Metazoa; Chordata; Aves; Passeriformes; Estrildidae. The record is from RNAcentral.
ACCCAGGACUUCAUUGCCUGAGUUAAGGACCAGAUGUGCUACUAGAAAAAACUAUGUACUUGGAAUGCUACAGCUGUGAGAGAUCAGUAGGAUCCUUUUCUUGGGACUGGUCAGAAAGUUUAACUAGGAGAAGAUCAGCAGAUACACUACUCAAAUCAGGUGCAAUUUCUGUCUCCACAUAGAUCCAGGCCCACGGUUUGGUGAUCCUGUUUUUUAUUGUGGUACAGAUUAGUCCACCUGUGCCCAAGCCAGCUCAAUCAGAACUACCAAUUGUCUCAGUAUCCCAGUUAUGCCCUCUUUACCAGACAGAAGCAGAAAGCUGUCUGCUGGUCUCAAAUCUUCAUCAACUUCACCAAAGCAUGAGCCUCAGCCACAUCUUUACCUUGGCUAUCCAACAUGCUAAAAUCCCAGAUGAAUCACUGAGAAUCGGGUGCCAUGGCUGGCUUAUGUCAAUCUAAGCAUGAGCUGCUGUCAAGAGGAGCAGCCCUGCCUGCUCCUGCCUGCUCCCAUCACCUCUCCAGUACCAAUACUGGUGCCUGUCUGUGUGCACAGCCAGCUUCACCACUGAGCUGGUUCAACCCACUCUACGGCCACAUGAUUAUCAGUGCCAAAACACAUUGAGGAGCACCAGCUUGAGGACCGAAAGGGAAGCCUGUAGCAGACUGACAUAUUUUGUUCAAGCACCCUACACAAUAAAUAUGUGUGCAGAGUUAAGUCUGGUACAUCCUGAUCCCACUGGUGACACUGUGCAUAGUCUGGACAACCCACUCAGCUCUUGCACAGGUGGUCCAAAACACCUCAUGUGUCAGACAUGAAGGACACUUGCUGUGAAGUCCAUCUCUGUGUGACCACUAAGACCACUGAAUAUACAGAGACUGUACUGGACAUGUCUGACCACUCAGCAGGAUGUGAUGUGCCCAUUGCUCCCAAGACACAGCAGGAUCUCUCAUUUAUCUAUGGGAAUGGUGGCUCCUCCUAGGACAACACCACCUCCACCCAUAAUUCUGCCUUCAGCAUCCCAAAUUUCCCACCUGUAGUUGACUGUCCAUUCUCAGGAUUGUCCUGAAAGCAAUUGCUGUGCCAUCAGGUGAGUCAGACACAGAUGAGUCAGCUGUAAAUGUUAUCUGAGACAGGGAAGAGAGAUUACUUUGACUACAGAGGUUUUUAAUCUGACAACAAAGCCUUCCAUACAUCUAGAAGUUGAAACUACUCAAAUAAAUAUGACAAAAAUGCGUAAGUAGGAGGGACAUUUAUUGUUAGUACAUAGCAAGCUGCCUCCAUUUCAAGUUUUGAAUCAAGAUUUUCAGCAAAGCAACAUUUGGCCUUGAUCGAGGCAUUUCUGAGUACAGAGACUGUGUAUGUAAAACCCACACAGCCCUGAAAGACAGGCUUGAGCAAAUCUUCCUGCUGUUAUUCAAUGAGGAAUUGCCCCUAAUUCUUCCCUGGACCUCCCUGCCAGGACUUGGUGAGACUAUCAUGCGGCUCACAGAAGGAAGUUUGCCACUUACAUUUAAAAAGUCAUGAUUGUUAGAAACUGGCAAUUAGGAUGAGUAUACAGGGUCAUGUAGUGACUCCUCUGAGAGCAUUAACAUCUGCAGAGAAGUUGGGAAGGAGGGGAAGAGUCACAAGUCAGGAGGGAGGAGUCAUGAUUUGGGAAAAACAACUUAAACUGAAGGAAGGGGACUUACUUAAUUUAAUUUACCAGAGCCCUCUAGACAGCUCACAAAGCAGCCUGGCUUCCAGCUGAUGUAAUAUAUGUUAUGCAAAUGUAGUAUAAUUAACAUUAUUUGACUGUAAAAAAAAAUUUCCAAGUUUCAUUAGGCUUAUAAGGGAAAAAUAAAACUAUUUUAGAUUAAUAUGCAUUGUGGAUUCAGAGCUAAUGUUUGCCAUGGCAAGUUAUUUAUGUAUAAAUGCUAGUAAAAUUAUUUGAAGGAGGCAGGAGAAGCAAACAACCUUCAGCCAAAUGUGAAGCACGUGCACUGCGCUGAGUACCAUGCUUCCCUCAAUGUGUUCUGCAUUCCUUCAGUUUCCAUUUUAUCAAAGCUUGAUUGAACUCAAGGCUCACAAGAAACAUGGGAUUGAGUCCCAGCAAAAGGAUAUUUUCCCCUUGUUUUCCUGUGCCGUAUACAAACAGGAGAAGUGAAAACAAUUAAAACCAAGCUGCGCCCGUUUGCUCUGCACAAUUUCCUGAAAUUUCUUCUGAGCCAGAUAAACCAGGCUACAGAAAAACAGAGGUCAAGGUUAAAAUGGCAUCUGCUAGGAUGCUGUGGAAUUUAGGAACAGUCAUAUUUUCACACCAUCUGCUUUUUUAUGAUAAAGUACUUCGCGACCCGGGUGUAUAAUAAGAUAUAAUGGGAAAAUUUAAGAUGAAUAUCCUUCUAGCCUUCACUAAUCUCACCAGAGAAGCAACAGAAGUCUUGUUUUAAACUAAGGAAGGACAAAGAGCACUGAAAGCUGCAUGGGAAAUGGCCCAGAACUGCAGAGGAUUUGGACAAGGAGCUUUCAGGGCUGCAGGAGGAGGCCUGGCUGGGGACAGCAGACCCGGCCACUUUGUCACUGCCCUGGGGCAGCAGCCAACCUUCACCCAGAGCAGCACAUGUGCCAGUGCCCGACCUUCACCCAGAGCAGCACAUGUGUCAGUGCCCGACCUUCACCCAGAGCAGCACAUGUGUCACACAUGUGUCAGUGCCCGACCUUCACCCAGAGCAGCACAUGUGUCACACAUGUGUCAGUGCCCGACCAUCACCCAGAGCAGCACAUGUGUCACACGUGUCAGUGCCCGACCUUCACCCAGAGCACCACAUGUGUCACACAUGUGUCAGUGCCUGACCUUCACCCAGAGCACCACAUGUGUCACACAUGUGCCAGUGCCUGACCUUCACCCAGAGCAGCACAUGUGUCACACAUGUGUCAGUGCCCGACCUUCACCCAGAGCACCACAUGUGUCACACAUGUGCCAGUGCCUGACCUUCACCCAGAGCAGCACAUGUGUCACACAUGUGUCAGUGCCUGACCUUCACCCAGAGCAGCACAUGUGUCAGUGCCCGACCUUCACCCAGAGCAGCACAUGUGUCACACAUGUGUCAGUGCCCGACCUUCACCCAGAGCAGCACAUGUGUCAGUGCCCAACCUUCACCCUGAGCAGCACAUGUGUCACACAUGUGUCAGUGCCCGACCAUCACCCAGAGCAGCACAUGUGUCACACAUGUGCCAGUGCCCGACCAUCACCCAGAGCAACACAUGUGUCAGUGCCCGACCUUCUCCCAGAGCAUCACAUGUGUCAGUGCCCAACCUUCACCCAGAGCAGCACAUGUGUCACACAUGUGUCAGUGCCCAACCUUCACCCAGAGCAGCACAUGUGUCACACAUGUUCCACUGCCCGACCUUCACCCAGAGCAGCACAUGUGUCACACGUGUCAGUGCCCGACCUUCACCCAGAGCAGCACAUGUGUCAGCGCCCGCCAGACCGGCCCUCCCGCUCGCAUGAACCAGUUCAGACUGCCUGCUUGGAAUAAACCGCAGGAACUUUCCUGGAGGGGAUUAGCGAGUGCCUGCAGUGCCUGCCCAGACCUGAUCGCAGAUCUGAGGGCAUCCCUGGCAUCGCAGCUGCAGUGAACAGCUGAGAAGGGCUC